GUGGGGAAUCUUCCGCAAUGGACGAAAGUCUGACGGAGCGACGCCGCGUGAGUGAAGAAGGCCUUCGGGUCGUAAAGCUCUGUCAUCAGGGACGAACGGCCGGUGGAGUGGAAAGCCACCGGAUUGACGGUACCUGAGAAGGAAGCCACGGCUAACUACGUGCCAGCAGCCGCGGUAAUACGUAGGUGGCAAGCGUUGUCCGGAAUUAUUGGGCGUAAAGCGCGCGCAGGUGGGAUCUUACGUCCAUUUUUAAAGUUCGGAGCUCAACUCCGUGAUGGGAUGGAAACUGGGAUUCUUGAGUACCGGAGAGGAAAGCGGAAUUCCCCGUGUAGCGGUGAAAUGCGUAGAUAUGGGGAGGAACACCAGUGGCGAAGGCGGCUUUCUGGACGGUGUCUGACACUGAGGCGCGAAAGCCAGGGGAGCGAACGGGAUUAGAUACCCUGGUAGUCC
RNAcentral lists this ribosomal RNA (450 nucleotides) under uncultured bacterium. Its description in RNAcentral is "partial 16S ribosomal RNA". It matches the Rfam family "Bacterial small subunit ribosomal RNA", at positions 354 to 796 of the family's 1533-position model. The record is from RNAcentral.